RNAcentral lists this ribosomal RNA (318 nucleotides) under uncultured soil bacterium. RNAcentral describes it as "bacterial SSU rRNA". It matches the Rfam family "Bacterial small subunit ribosomal RNA", at positions 26 to 345 of the family's 1533-position model. The record is from RNAcentral.
AGAUUGAACGCUGGCGGCAGGCCUAACACAUGCAAGUCGAGCGGCAGCACGGGUACUUGUACCUGGUGGCGAGCGGCGGACGGGUGAGUAAUGCCUAGGAAUCUGCCUGAUAGUGGGGGAUAACGUUCGGAAACGGACGCUAAUACCGCAUACGUCCUACGGGAGAAAGUGGGGGAUCUUCGGACCUCACGCUAUCAGAUGAGCCUAGGUCGGAUUAGCUAGUUGGUAGGUAAAGCCUACCAAGGCUACGAUCCGUAACUGGUCUGAGAGGAUGAUCAGUCACACUGGAACUGAGACACGGUCCAGACUCCGUACGGG